AUUGAACGCUGGCGGCAUGCCUUACACAUGCAAGUCGAACGGCAGCACGGGAGCAAUCCUGGUGGCGAGUGGCGAACGGGUGAGUAAUAUAUCGGAACGUGCCCAGUCGUGGGGAUAACGUAGCGAAAGCUACGCUAAUACCGCAUACGAUCUAUGGAUGAAAGCGGGGGAUCGCAAGACCUCGCGCGAUUGGAGCGGCCGAUAUCAGAUUAGGUAGUUGGUGAGGUAAAGGCUCACCAAGCCGACGAUCUGUAGCUGGUCUGAGAGGACGACCAGCCACACUGGGACUGAGACACGGCCCAGACUCCUACGGGAGGCAGCAGUGGGGAAUUUUUGGGACAAGUGGGCGCAAGCCUGAUCCAGCAAUGCCGCGUGCAGGAUGAA
This 384-nucleotide ribosomal RNA is filed under the name uncultured bacterium. RNAcentral's name for it is "bacterial SSU rRNA". It matches the Rfam family "Bacterial small subunit ribosomal RNA", at positions 30 to 412 of the family's 1533-position model. The record is from RNAcentral.